This 121-nucleotide small nuclear RNA is filed under the name Nelumbo nucifera (sacred lotus). RNAcentral's name for it is "U5 spliceosomal RNA". It matches the Rfam family "U5 spliceosomal RNA". From Rfam's summary of the family: U5 RNA is a component of both types of known spliceosome. The precise function of this molecule is unknown, though it is known that the 5' loop is required for splice site selection and p220 binding, and that both the 3' stem-loop and the Sm site are important for Sm protein binding and cap methylation. Lineage: Eukaryota; Viridiplantae; Streptophyta; Magnoliopsida; Proteales; Nelumbonaceae. The record is from Rfam by way of RNAcentral.
UCACACAGCCACGCAGCACAGAGCAAACUAUUCUUUCACUUUUUACUAAAGAAUACUGUGUGCUCGUCGCUCAAAGCGACAUACGCCUAUUUUUGGUGGGCUUUUCUCUUUUCUAAGAAGG